RNAcentral lists this ribosomal RNA (253 nucleotides) under uncultured bacterium. RNAcentral's name for it is "partial 16S ribosomal RNA". It matches the Rfam family "Bacterial small subunit ribosomal RNA", at positions 524 to 776 of the family's 1533-position model. The record is from RNAcentral.
UACGGAGGGUGCAAGCGUUGUCCGGAUUUAUUGGGUUUAAAGGGUGCGUAGGCGGCCCGGUAAGUCAGUGGUGAAAGCCUCCAACUCAACUGGAGAACUGCCAUUGAUACUGCCGGGCUUGAGUACAGACGAGGUUGGCGGAAUUGAUUGUGUAGCGGUGAAAUGCAUAGAUACAAUCAAGAACUCCGAUUGCGUAGGCAGCUAACUAGGCUGUAACUGACGCUGAGGCACGAAAGCGUGGGGAGCGGACAGG